RNAcentral lists this ribosomal RNA (468 nucleotides) under uncultured bacterium. RNAcentral's name for it is "partial 16S ribosomal RNA". It matches the Rfam family "Bacterial small subunit ribosomal RNA", at positions 28 to 507 of the family's 1533-position model. The record is from RNAcentral.
GACGAACGCUGGCGGCGUGCUUAACACAUGCAAGUCGAACGGAAAGGCCCUGCUUUUGUGGGGUGCUCGAGUGGCGAACGGGUGAGUAACACGUGAGUAACCUGCCCUUGACUUUGGGAUAACUUCAGGAAACUGGGGCUAAUACCGGAUAGGAGCUCCUGCUGCAUGGUGGGGGUUGGAAAGUUUCGGCGGUUGGGGAUGGACUCGCGGCUUAUCAGCUUGUUGGUGGGGUAGUGGCUUACCAAGGCUUUGACGGGUAGCCGGCCUGAGAGGGUGACCGGCGACAUUGGGACUGAGAUACGGCCCAGACUCCUACGGGAGGCAGUAGGGGGGAAUAUUGCACAAUGGGCGGAAGCCUGAUGCAGCAACGCCGCGUGCGGGAUGACCGCCUUCGGGUUGUAAACCGCUUUCGCCUGUGACGAAGCGUGAGUGACGGUAAUGGGUAAAGAAGCACCGGCUAACUACGUG